UUGUAAGUGUUUAAGGGCGCAU
RNAcentral lists this ribosomal RNA (22 nucleotides) under Mycolicibacterium iranicum. Its description in RNAcentral is "partial 23S ribosomal RNA". The record is from RNAcentral. Lineage: Bacteria; Bacillati; Actinomycetota; Actinomycetes; Mycobacteriales; Mycobacteriaceae.